RNAcentral lists this ribosomal RNA (538 nucleotides) under uncultured eukaryote. Its description in RNAcentral is "partial 18S ribosomal RNA". It matches the Rfam family "Eukaryotic small subunit ribosomal RNA", at positions 622 to 1113 of the family's 1831-position model. The record is from RNAcentral.
AAACGCUCGUAGUUGGAAAGAAUAAGUUUAUUUUUUCUUUUUUUGUCUUAAAAAAAAAAAUAAUUUAUUUUAAUAGAAUUCAAAAAAAUGGAAAUUUUUUUUUUGUAAUAAAAUUACUUUUGAAUAAAUUAGAGUGCUUUAAGCAAAUUAUUUUUUUAUCAACAAAAAAAAUAAAAUGUUUGAAUAAUUUAGCAUAGAAUAAUUGAAUAAGAUUUGAAAGAUAAAUAUUUUGGUAAUUAUAAUUUAAAUAAUGAUAAAUAGGAAUAGUUGGGGGUAUUUGUAUUGAAUAGUCAGAGGUGAAAUUCAAGGGAUUUUGUUCAAGACAAACAUCAGCGAAAGCAUUUACCAAAGAUAUUUCCAUUAAUCAAGAACGAAAGUUAGGGGAUCGAAGAUGAUCAGAUACCGUCGUAGUCCUAACCAUAAACAAUACCAACCAAAGAUAAGAGGUUGAAACAAGAGAUAUAAAAAUUUGUUUUUUUUUAUAUCAAGAAAACUCCUUUUUGAAUUUUUGAGGGAAAACCAUUGAGUAUUUGGGGUU